RNAcentral lists this long non-coding RNA (5045 nucleotides) under Aquilegia coerulea. RNAcentral's name for it is "long non-coding RNA (ACOE_LNC001130)". The record is from RNAcentral. Lineage: Eukaryota; Viridiplantae; Streptophyta; Magnoliopsida; Ranunculales; Ranunculaceae.
ACCCCGCGGAUGAUGGAGGUGAACGUGCAUAUCCUGCCAGUGGUGGAGGUGAAUGUGCAAAUCCUGCAGGUGAUGGAGGUUGAUGUGCAAAUCCCACAGGAGAUGGAGGUGAAUGCACAUAUCCUGCUGGUGGUGGAGGUGAAUGUGCAAAUCCUGCAGGUGAUGGAGGUUGAUGUGCAAAUCCCACAUGAGAUGUAGGCCGAUGUGUAAAUCCAGUAGAUGACUGUAUAUUUGCAGUUGGUGAUGGAGGUUGAUGUGCAAAUCCUCCAGGAGAUGGAGGUCGAUGCGUAAAUCCAGUAGAUGACUGUGUAAAUGCAGUUGGUGAUGGUGUAGGGCGUGAAAAUUCCGCAGGCGGUGAUGGCGCUGCACGUGGAAAUGCCGUGGCUGAUGGUGGUGGAUGUGGAAAAGACCCUUGCCUUGCUUGAUGUGGUCUCCCAAAUAGUCUCUCAAUCUCAUCAAUCCUCCCUUCUUUAUCAAAAGCUUCAUCUACAGAACUGCGGAGUGCAGGAGUAACACCAAUUCUAUUCCUUAUCAUCUGACCCAAUAAACCUUUAGCUUGAUCAAGUCUGCCUUCUUUGCACAAUUUUGAAAUUACAAGCUCAUAUGUUGUUGGGUCUGGUUUCACUUCCCCAUCUCCCAUAAGAUCAAGAAUUCCAGUGGCCUCUUCAAUUUUACCAUUAUUAAGCAGUUCACCAAAAACCAUAUUAAAGAAACGGGGGUUAGCUUUUAUUUUAGAUUCAAAUACGAAUUUCUUAAAUAAUCUCAAAGCAUCGUCUACCCUUUCUCCUUUAAAGUAAGCUUCAAUAAUAAAUCGAUAAGUGUUGUAAUCCAAUAUUACUGACUUCAUUUGCAUUUCUUCAAACAGCUUCUCUGCCUCCUCUAUUACACCAUUUUCACAAAGUUUCCCAAUCAGGUUAUUGUAACCCGCCAUAUCCAUAUGGAAUGGCUUUGAACCUGGUUCUGUUCCAAUCUGCCUAAACACUGCAAUUGCCUCUGAAACCUUUCCCAAUCGAAAACAUUCAUUCACCAUUAUGUUAUAGGUAUCACUAUUCACAGCCUGGAAAGUGGGUGUUUUGUGUCUAUUCAACAUACUUAAAAAGAGAGUAUUGGCCUCUUUACUCUUCCCAUGCCUGAGCAAUACCUCCAACAAUACAUUACCCGUAGGUGGAAUCAUUUUAUAAUUGCGCUCAAGGUAAUCAUAAUAUGAUUCCAUGGCUUCCUUUUCCAUUCCUUUCUUGAAGUACCAAUCCAUGAAUGUGGCAUUGACAACACCAUCAUAAACUGUACAACGUUCACGAAGCUCAUCAAACAACUCAUUAGCGCGCUCAAGGUUACCAAGAUUAAGAAACCCCAAAAUAAGAUUGUUAUAAACAUGUGAAUCAGCACCAUGACCCUUACUAAGCAUUUCACGAAGUAGAUCAAUACCCUCAGAGAUUCGACCAGCAUCAACUAGACCUUUAGUGAGAUGUUUGUAAGUGAUAUGAGAAGGGCUGAAAGGGGCAUUUUCAAGGAGAUGUUGAUAGACAUCUAAGGCAAUAUCCAUUCGACCAGUGUCGCAGUAGGUAUUAAUUAAAUUAUUGUAAGAAACAAUAUUAGGAACAAUAUUGGAUUGAUUAAAGAAAUACUGGAACAACUGAAUGGCUUCAUCAUAGCGACCGGCACGAUACAUCGAAGCAAUGAUAGCAUUACAAGUGAAGACAGUAGGGCGGCAAUUAGAGAAAACAGCUUGACGAGCAGUGAUAGAAGCAGAAUCAAGAUCACCACCACGAAUCAGAGAUUGAACACGGUUAUGGAGGUUAAGACGAGGACCUACAAGGGCUGAAGUAGAGUCUGGAAGACGAGGAGCAUUUGGGUCUGGACGUGGACGAGGAGCGUUAGGUUCACGACGGAGAGCGUGAAGUGGAGGUUCAAUACGAAGCCGUCUCUUACGGCGUCGACGCUCAAUUGCAGCUUCUUCUGCCGAUGAAUAAGCGAAAGACCGGAUGAAAGUGGUGGUGGUGGUGGAGGCAUUUAUGAUAUUGGUUAGGGCAUUAGUAGUGGCGGCAGCGGUGGUGGUGGUGGAGGAAGUUGAUCUACGAAGGGAUUGAAGAAGAAUACGGUGGUAGGUCAUGGUUGUGGUGAGAAAUGAAAUGAAACCUUCGAGAUCGAACUUUGGAGUUUUAACAGAAGCGAUUGAAUCUGAAAUUAGGGCUUAAGAAGGGUUUGGUGUUUUUUUUUACCUUUUUCUUCUUUACUGAUUGGAAUGGGAAAAAGUAAUGGAUCGUAUUGAGUUCACUGUGACUGAGCCAACGAGGGUAGGCAAAUUUAUAGGCUUACAGCUGAAUGAUACGAGUUGUAGGCUAUCAAUGAUCUAUGUCACCAAAUAAAGGAUCUAACCGUAAUUUUACCCUGGGGAUACAAAUAAUGAUUAAGGUAUAAUCACUAUAAUUUGAGACACUAAACAAUCUUAUUAUUCCAAACAGCAGCACCAAUGAUAAAACAUCCAUCAUCUUGUAUUAAGAUUGCUUGAAAACAACCUACUCACAUCCAUUCCCACCAGCUGAUACAGCAAUGUCAGAGAUGAGGAGUCCCCUAAUCCAAAAUUUGCUUAAAUAAAAGGCAAGACAUUGACUCUUACACCCAUUUGACACCUGAUAGAAAAACGAUGUACAGAGGAGCCAAACACUACAUUCAUAGCUGUUGCUGAAAUUAUGUUGAGGAGACCACAGAUGAAAACACUCCACAACAUAACACUCUGCCCAAAUGUUAUCUGAUGGUUUACUAUUGAUAGAUCUCACAACACGAACAAAGACUAUCACAGCAUCAAUAAGCUCACAAAUCCAACGCAUAAUGUUUAUUUUGUACCAUGCCUGCAUCGAAUACUUUUUCAUAAACAAUCCGUUCAUCUUACUUGAAUUGGUGGGAAGAUGUAUUUUGCUACCUAUUAUGCAGUGAAAGAUGAAGUGGAGGUUCUCCAAUUCGCUAGCUACUGCAUCACACUUGCACAAUGCGUACAAAAGGGAUUUUCUCGUCCUCUCUGCAUAUUUGUAGUGAUAAGUCCUGGUUACAACAAGAUAACAAGUGACAAUUUCCACAAUCAAAGAUGCUCAACCAGUAGGUUGACCCUUAGAAUAAGCUAUACAGGUCUGCAUCCUCACUGUGCUGUUUGUUUUUUGUCUAGUAGCUACUAGCUAUAAGCUUGGGGAUGGAGCUUAUAGUAACCGCCAUCUUGUUAGCCAAUUUCUACUAGAAAAGCUUAUAAGACCUUAACUAGAAGUAAAAACAAACAUACAUUUGGGUUUUCUAAUAGCUUAUAAGCUAUCAGAACUAGUAUAACUGAAAAAACAAACAGCACCUUAACUCUGACACUGAGCCAAUUUUAGACCAAGAAAAUUAAACUACCUUAAUGUCUAAAACACUAUGUAUCUGUCCCAUGCUUGCACCCAAUAUGCAUGGCUGGUGGAAUCCCAGCGGCACAAAAAUGUUGAGGAGAAAGAUCUGUUCAAUGCCUUCAAAUUGAAAUCAUAAGUCACAUUGUUAUUAAUUUCACAAACCCGGUUGCCUAAAAUACACUUAAUCAUCAUAAACAAAGACAUGUGUACCACGCUUCAUAAACUCAUGGAGAAUGGGGAUUGAUAAAAUCAUGUGUAGCUCAGAUACUUUAUUUUUGUUUCGAGAAAAAAAAAAAUAUAUCAAAGGAAGAGACAAUGCUUGCAUCAAGGCUACUAAUGACAUACAAUGCUAAAGUGACAGCACCAGGCCGGUUUCAUACCAGUGGAUAAGAGGAAACAAUCUGAAGAUGAUGAGAUUUCAACAAAGUUUACUUAUUUCAACAAAUACCAACAAACAAACUUGUAAAUUCAUAACUGAGAGUGUGAGCCAAAUGUUGAGCAUGGACGACAAACUCCAACGUACCCAGCAAAGCCAUGAAACAGUAAGAACUAUAUUAAUGGACACAAAAGGAAGCACACAUCAAUGUUCACAAUAACCACUUACUUACCACAGCAGAAAGGGUUUCAAUACAUCAAUACUUGUCAUCCAAUAACUGUUGCAGCAGAUAUUUCACUAACUAUGAAAAAUCUAGACAGAAAAUCGAAGACUAGAGCCCUGUACUGACAAUGAGAAUCACCAACACUUUUUUUUUUUUUUCAGAAACAAAACUAAGUUCAUAAUUAAUUCAACCAUGAAUAAAUUACAAUGCACGCUCAAGUAAGGUUCUAAGAGGUUGUUACCUGUCAUGGCACUCGAUCCAAGGAGGUAAUGCAUGUGUAGAUGUACAUGGAUGGGCAUAUCCUCCGGAUGAUGGACGUAGAUUUUGCAAACUCCGCAGGUGAUGGCGGUGGAUGUGCAAAUCUCACAGAUGAUCAUGUGCUUUAAUCCCAUGAGCUACCACAUCUCCUCAACAAAAAGUAAACCUUUAACCCUUGUUAAUUAUAUAUUACAUCGUCGUAUUUACUUAAUUUUCGUAGGGAUGAACAGAAUCGACAGAUGAAUAUAAUAAAACGAGUAGAAGGACUAGAGGCUAUCAAUGCAAUUUUAUACCUAAUUGUUGCUACUGCGAUAUACACCAAAAUAAAAGAAAGAAGAAAGAAAAAUGUUGUCUGUAUACAUACUAUUAGGAUUCUGCUUAAAGAAUUCAAUCAAAAUGCAAUACAAUUUCGAAAGAAACAAGUGCUUCCACAACUCAACCGCCUGGUCAAAUCUGCCCAAUUUCGCUUCCCAAUUGAUCUCAACCUCUAAAUUUUUUUUUCCUUUUUAUAUUCAGUAAUAACUCAACACUUCGAUUCAUGUGCAAAUGCUGAAUGUGAGGGUGCUGGUGGCACUAAUGCCGUUGGUGAUGGUUUUCAAAAUGGGUGUGAUGAUGGGGCAGCAUGUCCAAACCCUGCAAAUGGAGGUUGAUGUGCGAACCUGCAGGUGAAGGAGGUGAAUGUGCAUCACCUUCAGGUUGAUGUGCAAAUUCUGCAGGUGAUGGAGGUUGAUGUGCAAAUCCUCCAGGAGAUGGAGGUCGAUGCGUAAAUCCAGUAGAUGACUGUGUAAAUGCAGUUGGUGAUGGUGUAGGGCGUGAA